CACAAUACGGGUACGUAGAAUCUGUAUAACAGAACAACAAUUUCAACUCGAGUUCAAAUAUGAACAAGAACACAAUGAAGUAUUAAAUACCCUCAACACAAGAUCAAAAUGACCUUUCCAAGAGAUGUAUUUAUUUUUCAGAAAAUAAAGAUGAAACAGAAAUGAUUAAGGCCAAGUCAUCCUAAUUCACGGACUUUCCUUAAGGAAUAAUUCCC
Molecule: long non-coding RNA, 215 nt
Filed under: Capsicum annuum
Lineage: Eukaryota; Viridiplantae; Streptophyta; Magnoliopsida; Solanales; Solanaceae
Description: long non-coding RNA (CANN_LNC007683)
Source: RNAcentral